CAUUCUCUGACACCAACGCUAGCCCGCAGCGCCGCCUAUUCCCUUCUUCAUCCAUCUUAUUCCGACGACCUCCUCACAACCGAAGAAACUCAGCUGCUGCGGCGCCGAAUCGCUCCACCCUCCUCUCAUAGAGCUGAUUUUAGUUCAUUUUAGAGAAUCAUAUUCUCAGCUAUUCUGCCUUGAAAAUUUGGAUAUGGCGGCUUAUGGUGCAGCCACUUCUCUCGGGAAUACAAUUCAGCGUAUUCUACAAUCCUCUCGCAUUUCUCUUGUUUCCUCUCUCCACAAAUCUUAUCAAAACCAGCUGCCGCCGCCGCCGACUUUCGCCAACUCCACCACGAGAUCAGGCGAUUUCUAACACACAGUUUUGGAAGAAAAUUUCUGAAAUUGUAUCAAAACCAGCUGCCGCCGCCGUCGACUUGCGCCAACUCCUCCACGGGAGGCGACUGAAUUUUAUUCUGGGCUAAUUGCUGUGUAGUUUAAGCUUCAUUUUGGAGAGCUCUAAGCAAAUUCAUUUCAACAAUCGUAUUCUGAGCUGAUAAUUUGGGUAUGGUGGCUUAUGGUGCAGCCACUUCUCUAAAGAAUACGAUUGAGCGUAUUCUACAAUCGUCUCGCAUUUCUCUCGUUUCCCUCUCUCCACAAAUAGUACCCUCAGCUGAUUAUGGUGCAGAGACUUUUCUCAAGAAUACGAUUCAGUGUAUUCUACAAUCGUUUUGCAUUUCCCUCGUUUCCCACUCUCCACAAAUCUUACAACCUGCCUACGACGAGGUGGAUCGCUUGCAGAUAGUUCUGCUAAGAUUGGACAACACCAGCUGCAGCAAGAUCAGGAUGACGGUGAAUGCUGUGGAUGAACGAAUCAAAGAGGCAGUUUGGGAAUUUGAAGAUUUACUCGAAUCCCAUGUCUUACAUCAGAUUCUUCCACAACUCGAAAGCGAGAGAGACAGCUUGUCAUUCCCUGUAGAGCUACAGAGUCUGCAAGACCAUGUUGAUUGCUUUGUCGAGAAGAUGAAGAUGAUGGAAGAGGAAUACGCUUAUGAAAUGGAGAAUAUGCCUGAAGAAGAAGGGGAGCCUAUUUCCUCAAGAAUCAAUUUUGGUGGAAUCAACUCGAAGAUGGUUUGAUUAUCUGAUGAAUUUCAAAAAGCCAGAGAUUAUCUUCUUGAAGAUAAAAACUAUUCGAUUUUUGGGAUGGCGGGUGUUGGAAAGACAACUCUUGCUAAGCAUAUUUUUGAAGAUCCAUCAAUUCGGAGCCAUUUUGAGUUUCGAGCAUGGGUCAAAGUGGGCAGAGAAUGUGAAUCUAAUGAACUAUUACGAUGUGUUCUAGCUCAAGUGGAUCCCAACGCUUACCAAAUGCUUAUCCAAGGAGAUGAUGAGGAGGAGGAAUUAGUUGGACGAUUGAAAGAAACAUUGAAGCAUAAGAAAUGUCUCAUCGUGUUGGAUGAUGUUUGGGAGGAAUAAGCAACUCAUCGCUUGACAAGUUGCUUACGAGAAAACAAAAUUGGUAGAAGGAUUCGAUUCUUACUUCCAAGUAGACAAGAUAUAAUAUUCUCGCAGCAUGGAUCUGAAAGAGUGCGCUUGUUGAAUGAAGAAGAAAGUAAGGAACUACUUGGUGAGAAGGUGUUUGGUGAAGAGGGAUUCCCUCUUCAGCUUGAGGAACUGGGAGAGAAGAUUGCUAAGAAAUGUGAAGGCCUUCCUCUUAUGAUAAUCACGGUUGCAAAGCUCUUAUCAAAAUCUGACAAGACCCUAGAACACUGGACUGAGGUACUCGUCAAACAAUGUAGUUCAGUUUUUGUGGAUGCAUAUAAUCAAAUAUCAGAGGUACUUUUCCUAAGCUAUGAUUACAUACCCCAAUAUUUAAAAAUGUUUUUUCUAUACAUGGGAGCUUUCUGUCCAUAUUUGGAUAUCCACCUAAACCCGCUCGACGCUAUGUUGAGUGCUGAUGUGUUUCUUCAACUGAGUGGAGAAGAAAGUUUUGAUUACUUUUGGGGAAUAAAAAGUAUCGUGUGCAUUCUUGUUGGCAGCACGUGUGUAGAGUAGAAGCUAGUAGGAUCAAGUUUCUGCAUGUCUUACAAAGUUGUGAUGAUGUUAUAAAAGACCAGCGCCGCUUAUGUGCCCAUUGGAACAGUUUAUUAUGCUUCAAACAAGUGUGUGAUUCGAUAAAAAGUGAUUGUACAUCCACUGUCCGUUCUCUCCUUUGUUAUGGACCUUAUCACCCAUAUCCACUGCCAAUACAUGCCAUGGGUUUCAAGUUGCUCAGGGUUCUACAUGCUAUUAAUGUUCGAUUUUACCAUAUCCCAACUGAAAUUUUCAAAACUAGUUUGUCUACGAUAUCUUGCCAUAACUUACAACGGUGACCUCUCUGAUUCCAUAUCCAACCUUUUUCACCUUCAAUUCUUGAUUAUUCAUAGACAUAUGUACAUUUAAAAGCGUAGAGUUCAAUCAUAUAUGCCUCUGCAAAUUUGGGACAUGCAAGAACUACAGCAUCUUGAGGUAGAGGGAAGGGACCUACCAACCCCUAACUCUGAUGCUGCCUUCAACAAACUCACCAGACUUAUUGGUGUGAGUGCAAACAGUUGUACUAGGGAAGUUCUCAAAAGAAUUCCUAAUUUAAAGAUAUUAGGAAUUGAUGUGGAGUUGAAGCCUUAUGAUGAUGAUGAAACCAACCCAUUGAGUUCCUUGAGUUAUAUCUCACAACUCCAGAAUUUGGCCGCACUUUACUAUACAAUCAGGAAUCCCGAGAUAAAACAUGAGUUUCCUACUAUUAUUCAUCUUUCAAUGUUCCCAUCAAGUCUCUCUAAUUUAGAAUUGAGUGGCGUUGGAUAUCCUUGGGAGUCUCUAAAUGAUAUUAGUUCGCUGCUACCAAAACUCAAGCUUCUCGAAUCAAAAUGCUAUACCUUUCGAGGCCCAGAGUGGGAAAUAAAACCGGGGAGUUUCUUGAAACUUAUUGAACUUGUAAUUGAAGACACCGAUUUGGUGCAAUGGAGACCUCAACGUGGAAGCCUCUCGAGCCUUCGUAUACUAAGGAUAAAGCACUGCUACAAAUUGCAACAACUCGAUUUUGCAAUCCUUUAGCUGUCGUUUGUGCCGAUGAAUUAGAAGGCGAGGUUUCCAUCGAACUUAUCACUCGUUCUUCUUUUUGAGCUCAAGUGACUCUGCAACUUGCUCGACAGGCAAAUGAGAGAGCCGAAUGGAUCAGACGCCGCGUCAUCCCUUGAUUUCAAUUCAAUUGUUGUAUUACCACAUUGUUGUAUGAAUUUAAGGAUUGUGACUUGUUUUGGAUUUUGUUGAGGAUUAUGAAACCUCAGUGCUAAAUGGUGUUUGUAACUAAAAUUGUUGUAAGUUGAAUUUGUGUGAAAACAUUAGUCUCUUACUUAAGGACUGCAAUUUUUGCUUUGUGCAUGAA
Long non-coding RNA from Salvia miltiorrhiza (redroot sage), 3397 nucleotides. RefSeq lists it as uncharacterized. The transcript is spliced from 5 exons. The record is from RefSeq and is a predicted model, not a curated record. NCBI's taxonomy places the organism in Eukaryota, Viridiplantae, Streptophyta, Magnoliopsida, Lamiales, Lamiaceae.